GUGACAAGAGCGCUUUCUAGGGCAGUUGUGUGCUGUCUUCAGAGGCAGGAAGCCACUUCCUGUGGUCUCAAUGGUGCCCUGUGAAAAACCAGGCCCUGGCCCAGCAGCCAAGAGGGCCGGGAUAGGUUCACCCAGACCCAUUGUCCUAUGAGCAGAUUUGUUUUUUCCAGAGCAACUCUUCACAGCUUCUCCCCUUCCCUUGGUGACAAUGACAGCCAGCAAUGGCUAGACAGCCUACUCCCAGCCUGGCCUGAGUCCGGUGGCCCCAGCGUGAGAUCACCACAGUGAGGUCUGACCUCAGCAUCGCCAUGGGGAUGCUCGGAUGCCACGCUGCCUGUAAAGCACCUUUUUCCCCCAGGAGAGUGGGAGGGGACCAUGGCUGAUGCUGACUAUGUAUGAUGUGGCCUGCUCCUGGCUGCUGGGGCUGUUUGUCCCCAAACAUAUGUUGUCAGAUCUCAGCUGAAUGGGGUGGGCCAGGGGGACUCACUCAGGACCUAUGGGCUCUAUUGCGUGUCUAUGUGUUUGGGGUGUGGCGAGAGGUGUUUAUUAGACCUCACGGGGAGCCUCAUUUUCUUGCCUCCCUGGGCUCGCCUGGGCUGCUGUUCACUGUGCUCCUAAUGGGCCUCGGACUGACAUUCACAGCAACCUGGUCUCCAUAGCAACCAGCUGUGACAUCACAAGGAACCCACGGACCCUGUAGCUGGAGCAGAGGAAGCUUGAAUGCCUGUUUGGGGAAGAAAGCCUUUGCUGCCCAUCCUUAGGCCUCUCCUGUGAUAGGGGAAGAGGACAUAGAAACGCUGAGAGAGCCAGGGCCUCCGCUUCUCUGGAGUAUUCCCCCUUCUGUAAGUGGAAGGAAAGGAAGCACAGCAGAAGGAUUGGAAUCAAGACAGCCUGGCUCCAGAGCCUGUUUUCAUAACUACGAGAGAAUGCACCAGAUUCCUUCUGAACGCCGCCUGCCGCGUGCACGGCUACAACUCUAUUUCCAGCCAUGCUGUGGCAAGCAGUUCCGGGCGGGCUUCAGCUCCCUUUGCACCACCAGCACCUCGCCUCCUGUCAGCAUGAGGCAGUUUUCAUUUUCUGCCCAGGGGCUUCCGCAGCGCCCCAACACAAGGUUGGCAGAAGCGGGCUCAGCCGGAGGACUUGUGGAGGGAAGUUGCUUCCACUGAGCCAGCCUCAAUCUGGGGUGCACAGGCGCCACCAGGUGAAUGCUUCUGCCAGGCCGUCAUCUGACCCAUAAGGUCCCUCUGUGCACUGCUUGGAAGGUCCUGGCAGGGCUGAGCCCCAGCCACCCACGGCAGUGACCUAAUAAUGCACCGUUAUCUUGGCUCUUCUGCUCUCUCUUGUUUCCCACUCCUGUUCGUCCCUCAUUUCUGGUCCCUAGAAUGACUUCCAAAAUAAACUCCCUGUACACAA
Molecule: long non-coding RNA, 1413 nt
Organism: Homo sapiens (human)
Lineage: Eukaryota; Metazoa; Chordata; Mammalia; Primates; Hominidae
Exons: 2
Source: RefSeq, a predicted model, not a curated record